UACAGAGGUCCCAAGCGUUAUUCGGAUUCAUUGGGCGUAAAGGGUGCGUAGGCGGCGCGGUAAGUCGGGUGUGAAAUCUUGGAGCUUAACUCCGAAACUGCAUUCGAUACUGCCGUGCUUGAGGACUGGAGAGGAGACUGGAAUUUACGGUGUAGCGGUGAAAUGCGUAGAUAUCGUAAGGAAGACCAGUGGCGAAGGCGGGUCUCUGGACAGUUCCUGACGCUGAGGCACGAAGGCCAGGGGAGCAAACGGG
Molecule: ribosomal RNA, 253 nt
Filed under: uncultured bacterium
Lineage: Bacteria
Description: partial 16S ribosomal RNA
Rfam family: Bacterial small subunit ribosomal RNA
Source: RNAcentral